AAUUACAGCAUUCCCGAAGCAAAGAGAACAGUUCGAGGUUUGGAAACAGUUUUCUUCUAUUCACCUUAUUUUGCACGACAACAAGGGUGACGCCAUUGCGUUCGUUUUGUCAUCUUACUCCCGUCUGAGAAAGACUUCAACUUCCGGCUCAUGAGAGGGAUGAGAUUCUGCGCUAGUUGAAACGAACGGGCCUAAGGACGGGAAUCCGAUUGAGGAACACCCCAGAAAUGGCUCGGCUACGAUGUUCCGAUAAAGAAGUCACGCCGGGUGUUGAAUAUUGUCAGAUUCAGAUGCAUCAAUGAGAGUCAGUAAUGCAGUGGAUAACUAUGAGGAUGAUCACAUCCACAUGCCCCACAGCUGUGAUGCAGAAUCACAAUAGGAGGAUCAAUCUGUCUUU
Pimephales promelas (fathead minnow) is the source of this 397-nucleotide non-coding RNA. Lineage: Eukaryota; Metazoa; Chordata; Actinopteri; Cypriniformes; Leuciscidae. The record is from RefSeq and is a predicted model, not a curated record.